RNAcentral lists this ribosomal RNA (379 nucleotides) under uncultured eukaryote. Its description in RNAcentral is "partial 18S ribosomal RNA". It matches the Rfam family "Eukaryotic small subunit ribosomal RNA", at positions 592 to 976 of the family's 1831-position model. The record is from RNAcentral.
CAAUAGCGUAUAUUUAAGUUGUUGCAGUUAAAAAGCUCGUAGUUGGAUUUCGGAUGGGCUUGAUCGGUCCGCCGUUUGGUGUGCACUGGUCGUGCCUAUCUUGCUGCCGGGGACGCGCUCCUGGCCUUAAUUGGCUGGGACGCGGAGUCGGCGAUGUUACUUUGAAAAAAUUAGAGUGUUCAAAGCAGGCCUAAGCUCUGAAUACAUUAGCAUGGAAUAACGCUAUAGGACUCUGGUCUUAUUGCGUUGGUCUUCGAGACCGGAGUAAUGAUUAAGAGGGACAGUUGGGGGCAUUCGUAUUUCAUUGUCAGAGGUGAAAUUCUUGGAUUUAUGAAAGACGAACUUCUGCGAAAGCAUUUGCCAAGGAUGUUUUCAUUAA